RNAcentral lists this transfer RNA (75 nucleotides) under Bacillota bacterium. Its description in RNAcentral is "Firmicutes bacterium tRNA-Gly". It matches the Rfam family "tRNA". From Rfam's summary of the family: Transfer RNA (tRNA) molecules are approximately 80 nucleotides in length. Their secondary structure includes four short double-helical elements and three loops (D, anti-codon, and T loops). The record is from RNAcentral. Lineage: Bacteria; Bacillati; Bacillota. RNAcentral also lists the same sequence under 2 other names.
GCGGAAGUAGUUCAGUGGUAGAACGUCGCCUUGCCAUGGCGAAGGUCGCGGGUUCGAGUCCCGUCUUCCGCUCCA